GGGGGUCGGAGCUUAACUCCAACCCCUGUGACAUACCAAUUGUUGCCUCGGCGGAUCAGCCCGCUCCCGGUAAAACGGGACGGCCCGCCAGAGGACCCCUAAACUCUGUUUCUAUAUGUAACUUCUGAGUAAAACCAUAAAUAAAUCAAAACUUUCAACAACGGAUCUCUUGGUUCUGGCAUCGAUGAAGAACGCAGCAAAAUGCGAUAAGUAAUGUGAAUUGCAGAAUUCAGUGAAUCAUCGAAUCUUUGAACGCACAUUGCGCCCGCCAGUAUUCUGGCGGGCAUGCCUGUUCGAGCGUCAUUUCAACCCUCAAGCCCCCGGGUUUGGUGUUGGGGAUCGGCGAGCCCUUGCGGCAAGCCGGCCCCGAAAUCUAGUGGCGGUCUCGCUGCAGCUUCCAUUGCGUAGUAGUAAAACCCUCGCAACUGGUACGCGGCGCGGCCAAGCCGUUAAACCCCCAACUUCUGAAUGUUGACCUCGGAUCAGGUAGGAAUACCCGCUGAACUUAAGCAUAUCAAAGCCCGGAGGAA
RNAcentral lists this ribosomal RNA (530 nucleotides) under Fusarium proliferatum. Its description in RNAcentral is "eukaryotic LSU rRNA". The stretch from base 150 to 303 matches the Rfam family "5.8S ribosomal RNA". The record is from RNAcentral. Lineage: Eukaryota; Fungi; Ascomycota; Sordariomycetes; Hypocreales; Nectriaceae.